This 338-nucleotide ribosomal RNA is filed under the name Mumia flava. Its description in RNAcentral is "bacterial LSU rRNA". It matches the Rfam family "Bacterial large subunit ribosomal RNA", at positions 1 to 373 of the family's 2925-position model. Lineage: Bacteria; Bacillati; Actinomycetota; Actinomycetes; Propionibacteriales; Nocardioidaceae. The record is from RNAcentral.
GUUAUAGGGUCAAGCGAACAAGUGCAUGUGGUGGAUGCCUUGGCGAUCACAGGCGAUGAAGGACGCGGUAGCCUGCGAAAAGCUACGGGGAGCUGGCAAACGAGCUUUGAUCCGUAGAUGUCCGAAUGGGGAAACCCACUCCUUUUGGAGUAUCCAUGGCUGAAUACAUAGGCCAUGCGAAGCGAACGCGGUGAACUGAAACAUCUAAGUAACCGCAGGAAAAGAAAUCAACCGAGAUUCCCAAAGUAGUGGCGAGCGAAAUGGGAUGAGCCUUGCACUCUUUAUUUGUAUUGUUAGCCGAACGCUCUGGAAAGUGCGGCCAUAGCAGGUGAUAGCCC